RNAcentral lists this unclassified non-coding RNA (175 nucleotides) under uncultured Ascomycota. RNAcentral describes it as "sequence contains ITS2". The record is from RNAcentral. Lineage: Eukaryota; Fungi; Ascomycota.
UCAACCCUCCAAGGCUGGCUUGGUGUUGGACCGCCUGGCGGCCCCCUAGUGACCCUAGGUUGCCGCCGGUCCCAAAGACAACGACGCCGUCCGACGGACGCUCAGUGCACCGAGCUUCACUGCGAGCACGCACUGUAGCAGCCGCGGGCGACGUCCCUCCUGUCGUUCUCGACGA